This 416-nucleotide ribosomal RNA is filed under the name uncultured bacterium. RNAcentral describes it as "bacterial SSU rRNA". It matches the Rfam family "Bacterial small subunit ribosomal RNA", at positions 335 to 749 of the family's 1533-position model. The record is from RNAcentral.
ACUCCUACGGGAGGCAGCAGUGAGGAAUAUUGGACAAUGGGGGCAACCCUGAUCCAGCCAUGCCGCGUGCAGGAAGACUGCCCUAUGGGUUGUAAACUGCUUUUGUACGGGAAGAAACACCCCACGUGUGGGGGCUUGACGGUACCGUAAGAAUAAGGAUCGGCUAACUCCGUGCCAGCAGCCGCGGUAAUACGGAGGAUCCGAGCGUUAUCCGGAAUCAUUGGGUUUAAAGGGUCCGUAGGCGGGCCAUUAAGUCAGGGGUGAAAGUUUGCGGCUCAACCGUAAAAUUGCCUUUGAUACUGGUGGUCUUGAAUCGUUGUGAAGUGGCUAGAAUGUGUAGUGUAGCGGUGAAAUGCAUAGAUAUUACACAGAAUACCGAUUGCGAAGGCAGGUCACUAACAACGCAUUGACGCUGA